This 290-nucleotide long non-coding RNA is filed under the name Brassica napus (rape). RNAcentral describes it as "long non-coding RNA (BNAP_LNC020359)". The record is from RNAcentral. Lineage: Eukaryota; Viridiplantae; Streptophyta; Magnoliopsida; Brassicales; Brassicaceae.
UACUUUUAUGUUAAAUCGAAAAGAGAUAUAGAUGCAAGGAGAGUAAAAGGUCGGUGAAAUGAGAAAGGCCCACAAGUAGCCACAAAAAGGGUGACUCUAUGAUAGAUAAUGGAACCCAAUGCAAAAGUUCACUCCUUUCGUCCCUCAUUUUAUCACAAUUUCUUACACUAAAGUACGUUUUCGUUCGACCAAAAAGUUUACGUUUUUCUUUCUUUAAUUUCUAUCAGCCAACAAAGUUCUUGUCUUUAUAAUAUUCGCUCUCUCUUUUAAAAUAUUUCUUUUACUCAAAC